GAUGGCUCAGUGGGUAAAGUGCUUGUUAUGUGAGCAAGAGGGCCUGAGUUCAAAUCCCAGUC
RNAcentral lists this transfer RNA (62 nucleotides) under Rattus norvegicus (Norway rat). It matches the Rfam family "tRNA", at positions 6 to 65 of the family's 71-position model. Rfam says of the family: Transfer RNA (tRNA) molecules are approximately 80 nucleotides in length. Their secondary structure includes four short double-helical elements and three loops (D, anti-codon, and T loops). Lineage: Eukaryota; Metazoa; Chordata; Mammalia; Rodentia; Muridae. The record is from Rfam by way of RNAcentral.